GACAGAGGGUGCAAACGUUGUUCGGAAUUACUGGGCGUAAAGCGCGUGUAGGCGGUCCGGAAAGUCGGGUGUGAAAGCCCUGGGCUCAACCCAGGAAGUGCACUCGAAACUCCCAGACUAGAGUCCCGGAGAGGAAGGCGGAAUUCUCGGUGUAGAGGUGAAAUUCGUAGAUAUCGAGAGGAACAUCGGUGGCGAAGGCGGCCUUCUGGACGGUGACUGACGCUGAGACGCGAAAGCGUGGGGAGCAAACAGG
RNAcentral lists this ribosomal RNA (253 nucleotides) under uncultured bacterium. Its description in RNAcentral is "partial 16S ribosomal RNA". It matches the Rfam family "Bacterial small subunit ribosomal RNA", at positions 524 to 776 of the family's 1533-position model. The record is from RNAcentral.